AUAUAAGCGUUGAUAAGGGGUAGUAAAUAUCAUGAUAAUUUCAGAGAGCUACUAUGUGGUGUGAAGUAGCGUUGUCAUAUAUUGAACUUUCCUUUGAGCAUGUUGAAAACAACACGUGGCCUACGUUAGAGGUAAAUGAGAUUAAAUAAAGGUGGUACCACGGGUAAAAAACUCGUCCUAUAU
RNAcentral lists this non-coding RNA (183 nucleotides) under Clostridiales bacterium. Its description in RNAcentral is "T-box sequence". It matches the Rfam family "T-box leader". Rfam says of the family: Uncharged tRNA acts as the effector for transcription antitermination of genes in the T-box leader family. T-boxes are found upstream of many aminoacyl-tRNA synthetase genes and some amino acid biosynthetic genes usually in Gram-positive bacteria. The anticodon of a specific tRNA base pairs to a specifier sequence within the T-box motif, and the NCCA acceptor tail of the tRNA base pairs to a conserved bulge in the T-box antiterminator hairpin. The record is from RNAcentral. Lineage: Bacteria; Bacillati; Bacillota; Clostridia; Eubacteriales.